UACGGAGGUGGCAAGCGUUGCUCGGAAUCACUGGGCGUAAAGGCGCGUAGGCGGGGAGGUAAGUCGGGUGUGAAAUCCCUCGGCCCAACCGAGGAACUGCGCCCGAGACUGCUUCUCUUGAGUCCCGGAGAGGAAGGUGGAAUUCCCGGUGUAGCGGUGAAAUGUGUAGAGAUCCGGAAGAACACCGGAGGCGAAGGCGGCUUGCUGGGCGUGAUCUGACGCUGAGGCGCGAAAGCGUGGGGAGCGAACAGG
Molecule: ribosomal RNA, 252 nt
Filed under: uncultured bacterium
Lineage: Bacteria
Description: partial 16S ribosomal RNA
Rfam family: Bacterial small subunit ribosomal RNA
Source: RNAcentral